GACGAACGCGGCGGCGUGCCUAAUACAUGCAAGUAGAACGCUGAAGGAGGAGCUUGCUUCUCCGGAUGAGUUGCGAACGGGUGAGUAACGCGUAGGUAACCUGCCUGGUAGCGGGGGAUAACUAUUGGAAACGAUAGCUAAUACCGCAUAACAGUAGAUAUUGCAUGAUAUCUGCUUGAAAGGUGCAAUUGCAUCACUACCAGAUGGACCUGCGUUGUAUUAGCUAGUUGGUGAGGUAACGGCUCACCAAGGCGACGAUACAUAGCCGACCUGAGAGGGUGAUCGGCCACACUGGGACUGAGACACGGCCCAGACUCCUACGGGAGGCAGCAGUAGGGAAUCUUCGGCAAUGGACGGAAGUCUGACCGAGCAACGCCGCGUGAGUGAAGAAGGUUUUCGGAUCGUAAAGCUCUGUUGUAAGAGAAGAACGAGUGUGAGAGUGGAAAGUUCACACUGUGACGGUAUCUACCA
RNAcentral lists this ribosomal RNA (471 nucleotides) under Streptococcus sp. oral taxon 431. RNAcentral's name for it is "bacterial SSU rRNA". It matches the Rfam family "Bacterial small subunit ribosomal RNA", at positions 28 to 485 of the family's 1533-position model. The record is from RNAcentral. Lineage: Bacteria; Bacillati; Bacillota; Bacilli; Lactobacillales; Streptococcaceae.